This 427-nucleotide long non-coding RNA is filed under the name Hordeum vulgare. Its description in RNAcentral is "long non-coding RNA (HVUL_LNC010435)". The record is from RNAcentral. Lineage: Eukaryota; Viridiplantae; Streptophyta; Magnoliopsida; Poales; Poaceae.
GAGGAGGAGGAGGAGGAAGAAGAAUCUUACCCCGCGGGGGUUUGGGACUUUGGGUUUCUGGGGUUUUGGUUGGACGCGGACGAAACCAGAGAGGGGAGGGGUGUGGGUAUGGAGCGGAGGGGGAGGGGAAAUGCAGGUUGAUCGCCUCACCUUUCCUUCCUUCCCUGGCUCCGGAGGAUCAAAAGCGGGGCGGUUGUGUUGUGCAGAGCAGAGCAGAGUUUGCAGGCGCAGCAGCAAAUAAAGCACCCGCGGCCUCCUCCGUCUCCUUUCCUUUCCUUCCCUUCCCGUCGCCCCGGUGCGUCCCGAGCCGUUGGAUCGCUUUCCGUGCCAGCUGGGGCCGAUCCAACGGCCCAGGCCCGUGCCACCGGGCCCGCUCGACGAGCCGCAGCGGGCGGGGCCCACGCACGCCGCGCUGGCGGGCGGGCNN